This 50-nucleotide transfer RNA is filed under the name Hemidactylus turcicus (Mediterranean house gecko). RNAcentral describes it as "partial tRNA-Leu". The record is from RNAcentral. Lineage: Eukaryota; Metazoa; Chordata; Lepidosauria; Squamata; Gekkonidae.
CACUUUCAAAGGACCCCAGCCGGCCAUUAAUUUUAGGAGUUAACACAACU